AAGGUUGCGCCAUGCCCCCCUCGACCGAACCCUAGCCCCCACUCGAACUCCUCCCCUUUCCCUUUGGUCACAACUUGGAGUUCGCCUGAUCUCAUGGUCGCCAUGCCGUCGUCGUAGCCGCGACCACCGUGCGCCUCUUCGCCGGGGGAGACCUCCAGCAGAACCGUCGUCGUCCACUUCUUCAUCUCCACCCACGAGAUCGAGCCCGGAGCCACCGCAUCGACCGGAUGAGGUCUUCUUCAAGCUCUGCCCCGCCGCUCAUCAUCUUCGAUUUCGACCUCAUUGAAGCCUCCCCGAGCCGCUGACUUUCUCUACAGCUGCGAUACGUUGGAGCCCAGAUCCUGAUGCACCUUCGACGAUGACUCCUACUACACUGGAGGUGCCUACUACUACAUGCAGCCCACUGACGACGACCAGGAGUAGUUAGGAGGAUCCCAGGCAGGAGGCAUGCGCCUCUUUCGAUCUGUAUCCCAGUUUGUGCUAGCCUUCUUAAGGCAGACUUGUUUAACUUAUGUCUGUACUCAGAUAUUGUUGCUUCCGCUGACUCGUCUAUGAUCGAGCACUUGUAUUUGAGCCCUCGAGGCCCCUGGCUUGUAUUAUGAUGCUUGUA
This 610-nucleotide ribosomal RNA is filed under the name Triticum aestivum (bread wheat). RNAcentral describes it as "partial small subunit ribosomal RNA". The record is from RNAcentral. Lineage: Eukaryota; Viridiplantae; Streptophyta; Magnoliopsida; Poales; Poaceae.